CCUUCCAUGCUUCCAAGAAAAGCAUCUAGAGAGAGAAGUAGUGCCCGUACCGCAAACCGACACAGGUAGAUGAGGAGAGAAUCCUAAGGCCGGCGGAAGAAUUGCAGUUAAGGAACUAGGCAAAUUGACCCCGUAAGUUCGCGAGAAGGGGUGCCUGCGAGAGCAGGCCGCAGAGAAUAGGCCCAAGCAACUGUUUUAGCAAAAACACAGGUCUCUGCUAAAGCGUAAGCUGAUGUAUAGGGGCUGACGCCUGCCCGGUGCUGGAAGGUUAAGGGGAACACUUAGCGCAAGCGAAGGUGUGAACUUAAGCCCCAGUAAACGGCGGCCGUAACAAUAACGGUCCUAAGGUAGCGAAAUUCCUUGUCAGGUAAGUUCUGACCCGCACGAAUGGCGUAAUGACUUGGGCACUGUCUCAACUGCAAAUCCGGCGAAGUUGUAGUGCGAGUGAAGAUGCUCGCUACCCGCGAUUGGACGGAAAGACCCCGUAGAGCUUUACUGUAGCUUAGCAUUGAAUUCCGGUAUUGUCUGUACAGGAUAGGUGGGAGACUGGGAAACUAGGGCGUCAGCCUUAGUGGAGUCAACCUUGGGAUACCACCCUGACAGUACUGGGGUUCUAACAGGACGCCAUGAAGCUGGUGACUGGACAUUGUUAGGUGGGCAGUUUGACUGGGGCGGUCGCCUCCUAAAAAGUAACGGAGGCGCCCAAAGGUUCCCUCAGAACGGUCGGAAAUCGUUCGUAGAAUGCAAAGGCAGAAGGGAGCCUGACUGCGAGACCCACAAGUCGAGCAGGGACGAAAGUCGGGCUUAGUGAUCCGGUGGUACCUCGUGGGAGGGCCAUCGCUCAACGGAUAAAAGCUACCUCCGGGAUAACAGGCUGAUCUCCCCCAAGAGUCCACAUCGACGGGGAGGUUUGGCACCUCGAUGUCGGCUCGUCGCAUCCUGGGGCUGUAGUAGGUCCCAAGGGUUGGGCUGUUCGCCCAUUAAAGCGGCACGCGAGCUGGGUUCAGAACGUCGUGAGACAGUUCGGUCCCUAUCCGUCGCGGGCGUAGGAAAUUUGAGAGGAGCUGUCCUUAGUACGAGAGGACCGGGAUGGACUGACCUCUGGUGCACCAGUUGUUCUGCCAAGAGCAUGGCUGGGUAGCUAAGUCGGGAAGGGAUAAACGCUGAAAGCAUCUAAGCGUGAAGCCCCCCUCAAGAUGAGAUUUCCCAUAGCAUAAGCUAGUAAGACCCCUUGAAGAACACAAGGUUGAUAGGUCAGAGGUGGAAGUGCGGUAACGUAUGUAGCUGACUGAUACUAAUAGGUCGAGGGCUUGAUC
This 1316-nucleotide ribosomal RNA is filed under the name metagenome. RNAcentral's name for it is "bacterial LSU rRNA". It matches the Rfam family "Bacterial large subunit ribosomal RNA", at positions 1596 to 2925 of the family's 2925-position model. The record is from RNAcentral.